UCCUCAUAAAUUACUUGAAUUUAUAUGAUGUCAGGUGGUGAUCUCAAUGCAUUAUGGAAAAAACAUAGUAGGGUGUUGGACAUCUUGAUUCAGGAUGUGGCUUUCUGAAGUUGUAACAUGUACUGUCUUGGAAUAAUUGCUAAGAAACAAUAAGAUUUCUUGCAUAUAAUACCUCAGAAUGGAACAGGUUGCAGAGACAAAGAUCUUCCUACUCCUAUUUGCAGUUCUUUUCAAGCAUAAUUGCUGAGAAACAAUAAGAUUUCUUGCAUAUAAUACCUCAGAAUAGAACAGGUUGCAGAGACAAAGAUCUUCC
This 313-nucleotide long non-coding RNA is filed under the name Elaeis guineensis (African oil palm). RNAcentral describes it as "long non-coding RNA (EGUI_LNC021343)". Lineage: Eukaryota; Viridiplantae; Streptophyta; Magnoliopsida; Arecales; Arecaceae. The record is from RNAcentral.